Molecule: ribosomal RNA, 1259 nt
Filed under: uncultured bacterium
Lineage: Bacteria
Description: bacterial SSU rRNA
Rfam family: Bacterial small subunit ribosomal RNA
Source: RNAcentral
AUUCGCCCUUAGAGUUUAAUCCUGGCUCAGGACGAACGCUGGCGGCGUGCCUAACACAUGCAAGUCGAACGGAGCUAGAUGCUGAGGACGUAGCUUGCUAUUGAAUCUUGUUUAGCUUAGUGGCGGACGGGUGAGUAACGCGUGAGCAACCUACCUUUCAGAGGGGGAUAACGUUUGGAAACGAACGCUAAUACCGCAUGAUAUUAUUGGGCGGCAUUGCCUGAUAUCAAAGGAGCAAUCCGCUGAAAGAUGGGCUCGCGUCCGAUUAGGUAGUUGGCGGGGUAACGGCCCACCAAGCCGACGAUCGGUAGCCGGACUGAGAGGUUGAACGGCCACAUUGGGACUGAGACACGGCCCAGACUCCUACGGGAGGCAGCAGUGAGGGAUAUUGGUCAAUGGGGGAAACCCUGAACCAGCAACGCCGCGUGAGGGAAGACGGUUUUCGGAUUGUAAACCCCUGUCCUCUGUGAAGAUGAUGACGGUAGCAGAGGAGGAAGCUCCGGCUAACUACGUGCCAGCAGCCGCGGUAAUACGUAGGGAGCAAGCGUUGUCCGGAUUUACUGGGUGUAAAGGGUGCGUAGGCGGCUUUGCAAGUCAGAAGUGAAAUCUAUGGGCUUAACCCAUAAACUGCUUUUGAAACUGCAGGGCUUGAGUGAAGUAGAGGUAGGCGGAAUUCCCGGUGUAGCGGUGAAAUGCGUAGAGAUCGGGAGGAACACCAGUGGCGAAGGCGGCCUACUGGGCUUUAACUGACGCUGAGGCACGAAAGCGUGGGUAGCAAACAGGAUUAGAUACCCUGGUAGUCCACGCUGUAAACGAUGAUUACUAGGUGUGGGUGGACUGACCCCAUCCGUGCCGGAGUUAACGCAUUAAGCACUCCGCCUGGGGAGUACGACCGCAAGGUUGAAACUCAAAGGAAUUGACGGGGGCCCGCACAAGCGGUGGAGCAUGUGGUUUAAUUUGAAGCUACGCGAAGAACCUUACCAGGUCUUGACAUCUUGCGCUAACCUUAGAGAUAAGGCGUUCCCUUAGGGGACGCAAUGACAGGUGGUGCAUGGUUGUCGUCAGCUCGUGUCGUGAGAUGUUGGGUUAAGUCCCGCAACGAGCGCAACCCUCGUUACUAGUUGCCAGCAUUAAGUUGGGCACUCUAGUGAGACCGCCGGUGACAAACCGGAGGAAGGUGGGGACGACGUCAGAUCAUCAUGCCCCUUAUGACCUGGGCUACACACGUGCUACAAUGGACGGUACAACGAGUUGCAAAC